RNAcentral lists this ribosomal RNA (384 nucleotides) under uncultured bacterium. RNAcentral's name for it is "bacterial SSU rRNA". It matches the Rfam family "Bacterial small subunit ribosomal RNA", at positions 39 to 428 of the family's 1533-position model. The record is from RNAcentral.
GGCCGCGGGAAUUCGAUUCAGGCCUAACACAUGCAAGUCGAGCGAACCACUUCGGUGGUGAGCGGCGAACGGGUGAGUAACACGUAGGUCAUCUGCCCAUCAGACGGGGACAACGAUUGGAAACGAUCGCUAAUACCGGAUAGGACGAAAGUUUAAAGGUGCUCCUGGCACCGCUGAUGGAUGAGCCUGCGGCGCAUUAGCUAGUUGGUAGGGUAAAGGCCUACCAAGGCGACGAUGCGUAGCCGACCUGAGAGGGUGAACGGCCACACUGGGACUGAGACACGGCCCAGACUCCUACGGGAGGCAGCAGUGGGGAAUCUUCGGCAAUGGGCGAAAGCCUGACCGAGCAACGCCGCGUGAAUGAUGAAGGCCUUCGGGUUGUAA